RNAcentral lists this ribosomal RNA (524 nucleotides) under Parapristipoma trilineatum (chicken grunt). RNAcentral's name for it is "partial 16S ribosomal RNA". It matches the Rfam family "Bacterial large subunit ribosomal RNA", at positions 1848 to 2571 of the family's 2925-position model. Lineage: Eukaryota; Metazoa; Chordata; Actinopteri; Lutjaniformes; Haemulidae. The record is from RNAcentral.
AGAGGUCCCGCCUGCCCAGUGACCAUGUGUUCAACGGCCGCGGUAUUUUAACCGUGCGAAGGUAGCGAAAUCACUUGUCUUUUAAAUGGGGACCAGUAUGAAUGGCUAGACGAGGGCUUGACUGUCUCCUUUUUCAAGUCAAUGAAAUUGAUCUCCCCGUGCAGAAGCGGGGAUAAACACAUAAGACGAGAAGACCCUAUGGAGCUUUAGACACCAAGUCAGACCAUGUUCCUCACCCCUAAACAAAGGGUAAAACUAGUGGAGUCUGUACUACGUCUUCGGUUGGGGCGACCAUGGGGAAUACAAAACCCCCAAGUGGAAUGGGAGCACCACUCCUCCUAUAACUAAGAGCCCCCGCUCUCAGUAACAGAAUUUUUGACCUUUAAGAUCCGGCAAAGCCGAUUAACGAACCAAGUUACCCUAGGGAUAACAGCGCAAUCCCCUUCAAGAGCCCUUAUCGACAAGGGGGUUUACGACCUCGAUGUUGGAUCAGGGCAUCCUAAUGGUGUAACCGCUAUUAAGGG